UAAACAAAUACCCUUUUAUAACCACAAAAAUGACAUUAAAUAUUAUUGCUUCAAAAAAGGGAAGAAAUUCUCACCCUCAUGCCUUUGAGCCCGGCCCUUUUCUCAGCUCCUUACUUAAAGCUGGAAUGGAUUUCCCUGUGCCAUCCAUUCGUAGCCUCUGCCCCAGGCAGGAGAAGCUGGACUCAGAAUACAUAGCUCUAUUCACCAGGCCGAGCUGCUGAAAGGGGCAACGUUUCCUCUCCUGCCUCUGACUCACCAAAGCAAUUUUAGAUUUGGCCAGCUGACUCCCAGAGUGAGCGAGGGAGCUGCCACAGUGUUCAUCUCUUUGCUAAGAGAAAGACUUUAUUUGGGAAUACUUAGGACAUAUUUUGAGGGAAAAUUUUCUUGCUAUGAGUUCUGUACAGGUUUUCGGGGUUUCUUUUAUUCUUUGGAAGAUACAAAUCAUUACAAUAAAACCAUCAAUCUUUA
Long non-coding RNA from Sapajus apella (tufted capuchin), 468 nucleotides. RefSeq lists it as uncharacterized. The transcript has 2 exons. NCBI's taxonomy places the organism in Eukaryota, Metazoa, Chordata, Mammalia, Primates, Cebidae. The record is from RefSeq and is a predicted model, not a curated record.